Long non-coding RNA from Odocoileus virginianus texanus, 420 nucleotides. RefSeq lists it as uncharacterized. NCBI's taxonomy places the organism in Eukaryota, Metazoa, Chordata, Mammalia, Artiodactyla, Cervidae. The record is from RefSeq and is a predicted model, not a curated record.
ACCGCCAGGGGCCGAGCGGCCCCGCCUCUUACGCCGGGAAGGAGCUGCAAAACUGCGGCCGGGUGUUCCUACCCAUGUGUACUCCUCGGAUCCUUUUAACUUCCUGUGACCGUCCUCAACUGCCACCCCAGCUUCCAAGUGGAGGUCCGCCACUGUUUAUUGGCUGUCUGCUGAGUACCAUUCGCUGAGUUGAACGCCAAGGAUUCCGUAUUAAGCAUACAGCAAUCCAUUCUAUGCUAGAGAUGAGCGCAUGUCCUUCUACUGGACUAUCUUGAACCAGAAGCCAGAAGCGCAGUCUUAACCACUGGACCACCAGAGAAGUCCUAAUACCCCCAUGUUUUUAAAUUGAUGUUUCAUGUGUGAAUAAUAAUAACAAAAGUUACUUUGUGCCAAGCAUUAUCUUAAAAUUCUUCAACUCUA